CUUGUUUUUUUGGUCCAAAAAACAAACACACAUCUGUUUACAAAGCAAUAAACUAGCAAUUCACCAUAGCUAUUAAUAACACAGGAUGGAAUGGGAAAAUGUCAUUGCCCAAAUCACACAUCUUGCACAAGGUGCUAGCCCUAACCAACCAAACUACCCCAA
Long non-coding RNA from Rhodamnia argentea, 162 nucleotides. RefSeq lists it as uncharacterized. The record is from RefSeq and is a predicted model, not a curated record. Lineage: Eukaryota; Viridiplantae; Streptophyta; Magnoliopsida; Myrtales; Myrtaceae. The transcript is spliced from 3 exons.